Molecule: transfer RNA, 73 nt
Filed under: Candidatus Omnitrophota bacterium
Lineage: Bacteria; Pseudomonadati; Candidatus Omnitrophota
Description: tRNA-Ala
Rfam family: tRNA
About the family: Transfer RNA (tRNA) molecules are approximately 80 nucleotides in length.
Source: RNAcentral
GGGCCGGUAGUUCAGUUGGGAGAAUGCCUCGUUCGCAACGAGGAGGUCGGCGGUUCGAUUCCGCUUCGGUCCA